This 460-nucleotide ribosomal RNA is filed under the name uncultured bacterium. Its description in RNAcentral is "partial 16S ribosomal RNA". It matches the Rfam family "Bacterial small subunit ribosomal RNA", at positions 338 to 795 of the family's 1533-position model. The record is from RNAcentral.
CCUACGGGCGGCAGCAGUGAGGAAUAUUGGUCAAUGGACGAGAGUCUGAACCAGCCAAGUAGCGUGAAGGAUGACUGCCCUAUGGGUUGUAAACUUCUUUUAUAUGGGAAUAAAACGUUCCACGUGUGGGAUUUUGUAUGUACCAUAUGAAUAAGGAUCGGCUAACUCCGUGCCAGCAGCCGCGGUAAUACGGAGGAUCCGAGCGUUAUCCGGAUUUAUUGGGUUUAAAGGGAGCGUAGGUGGAUUGUUAAGUCAGUUGUGAAAGUUUGCGGCUCAACCGUAAAAUUGCAGUUGAAACUGGCAGUCUUGAGUACAGUAGAGGUGGGCGGAAUUCGUGGUGUAGCGGUGAAAUGCUUAGAUAUCACGAAGAACUCCGAUUGCGAAGGCAGUUCACUGGACUGCAACUGACACUGAAGCUCGAAAGUGUGGGUAUCAAACAGGAUUAGAUACCCCUGUAGUC